GCUCAAAUUUGAAAUCUCCUUUGGGCGAAUUGUAGUUUAGAGAAGCGUUUUCGGCCAGACGUUGGUACAAGUUCUUUGGAACAAGACAUCAUAGAGGGUGAAAAUCCCGUCUUUGACCAAUCGGGCGGCUUUGUGAUACGUUUUCCAAGAGUCGGUUUGUUUGGGAAUGCAGACCAAAACGGGAGGUAAAUACCUUCUAAAGCUAAAUAUUGGCGAGAGACCGAUAGCGAACAAGUACCGUGAGGGAAAGAUGAAAAGAACUUUGAAAAGAGAGUGAAACAGUACGUGAAAUUGUCAAAAGGGAAACGUUUGAAAGCAGUAUUGCGGCCAGGAUUUCAGCCUCGGUGGAUGGUCCUGGUGGCGAGUCAACAUCAGUUCGGUUGGGAGCAAAAGGCCGUGUGAAGGUAGCCCUUUGGGUAUUAUAGCGCAUGGUCGUACUCUCGACGGGACUGAGGACAGCAGCGUUUUUGGCUUUGCACACUCGCGCUUGGGAUGUUGACGAAAUGGUUUUAAGCGACCCGUCUUGAAACACGGACCAAGGAGUCUAACAUAUAUGCAAGUAUUUGGGUGGCAAACCCUUGUGCGCAAUGAAAGUGAAACGGUGGGAUCGUUGAGCACCAUCGACCGCGCCAGAUUCCGAUCUCGGCGUGAGUAGGAGCAUAGAUGCUGGGACCCGAAAGAUGGUGAACUAUGCCUGAAUAGGGUGAAGCCAGAGG
Molecule: ribosomal RNA, 716 nt
Filed under: Kappamyces laurelensis
Lineage: Eukaryota; Fungi; Chytridiomycota; Chytridiomycetes; Rhizophydiales; Kappamycetaceae
Description: eukaryotic LSU rRNA
Rfam family: Eukaryotic large subunit ribosomal RNA
Source: RNAcentral